CUUUCUUGUUCUUAUGUGGAGUUUAUGUUGUGCCGGCUGACUGGUUAUUUCUUGUCAUUAAUGAUUAAUGUUCUCCUAGGAUAUUAGUGUUGUUCACUGCUGACACUGUAAUGGAGUGGAACAAACACUAAGGGCUUACAGAGUCUGUUUAUCACCACCCUUCUGUGCAUGAGGACCACAUAGCAAAAUGUCAUCCCUUUCCCUUAUAAUGCCUGGGGCAUAAUGGACUGUUUACAGUUAUCCAUGGAAAAGCAGUCUGUCCUCCUGCUGUAAUGGUCUCUGUCACAGAACACAUCAUAGAAGUUGUCAAACAAGGGUUGGAUCCCAUGCUGAGAGGCUUAUUCAACUGUGAAACAAGGUCCUGUCAUCCCCAGCUAACCAUACGCAUCGUUAACAGAGUGAGCUGCUUGCUGACAAAUGAGUUCGGCUCGCACAGCAAGA
Molecule: long non-coding RNA, 441 nt
Organism: Oreochromis aureus
Lineage: Eukaryota; Metazoa; Chordata; Actinopteri; Cichliformes; Cichlidae
Exons: 4
Source: RefSeq, a predicted model, not a curated record